GGAGCUGAUUAGUGGUUGAAGGCAGCUGAUCUGUUUCGAAUCCUGUGUGUCCGGAGAGGCCAACGCUUUCAUUAGCCAGCAGGAAUGGGCUGGGGCGCGUUUGUAGUUGGGAAUCCUGAGCCCGGGCUGUUGCUUGGAGGACUCGGGAGCAGCAGUGGAUUUCGGCGUUACCAGGAGAGGUCUCGAGCACCAGAUCCCUCUUCCUUCACUUCCCAGUAGUGGGUUCUAGCCGUUCCCAGCGCCUUCAUUUCCAGAAGGCGAUUUUACCCAGAGAAAGGAGAGGGAAGAUUUGCUCUACCUUUGGCUUCUUAUCAAAUAGCUAAAUCACGUGGGAAGCUGCUAUGUAUAGGAAUGCCGCUAUGGAAAGACAUCCAGGACACCUUGUUAAGUGAAAAAAGACAUGCCACCAUUAGGGCUUCAUUUCCCUGCAGUCUUCUUUAAAUACCAAAACUGCCCUGGGAAGGAUAAGACAUCAGUUUCUUCAUACUUCAGAGCAAAUGGGAUUGAUUCCCAGGACCUCCUUUCUGUGGACUGGGUUUUUGCCUCCUCACCAAGAGACUGGGCUCCCUGGGCGAGCAGAGGCUGCUGGGUUCAGUAUCUGAACACUUUUGCUAAAGGUCUCUGGAAAGCUCCCUGUGUUAAUUCUCGAUGAGACUACGUCUGUGCCGGCCGCUUCCUGAGCCUCCUUCCAUGUGCAUAGGCCUGCUGCAUGCUGGAGACCUGCGGCACAGCUGCCAAGUGCCCCGUGUGGUUCUGUGAUCUUGGGACAGUCACUUCCUCUCUGUGGUUGUCAGUCUUCUCAUCCCUAAGAUGGAAUAAAAAGGCCUACCUCAUUGGGCUCGUGUGGGUGAGGAGAACUGAAGAGUCUGAGAGCGCGGCACGAGCCAGAGGCUACGGAAAACACUGCCCUCCUACACUCCACCUUGGAGAGACCCAGAAAAGAACAAGCUUCAUUUGUAAAAAAGGAAAACAACUCAGGCAAUGGGGGUGGCUUAAAGGCACUCUACAGUGUGCAGAUGCCUUCCACUUCUUCCAUCUGCCCUGUCUCUCCAAGAACCCCUAUGGCCCCGGUCUCAGAACAGAGCUGAGUGCAGAAAUGAAAAUCUAUGGCUCUGUGUUCCAAAACGAUGAAGAAUUUCAAGAUGGUGGCAGUGGUAAAAUCUUUCUCCAGGAAAAAUCUGUCCUUGGCCCAAUGUGUAAACACUUGCUGAGGAACUUGGAAUAACUUGCAGUGUCUUGCAGUAUUGUGAAACCAGCAACUUGUUCACAAUUCUUCUGAAUUUCUUGGGAAAUUUGAAGUGGAGUACCUGUACCAACAUGAAAUGACACGAAUUUAAGUGACGCUCAACAACGAAAAGCAAAAAGAACCAAAGAGGAAGCAACUGAAACAACAUCUGGAUGUAUUUAAAAAUAUACAAUGCCUCCAAAAUCAGGUGUCAUUAAUGAAAAUUCUGAAGAAAUGCCACCGGACAUAGCCAACGCACCUACGCUGUUGUUAUUCAUUUCCUGCUUUUCACAGAAAACAAUUUUGUUGCAUGGAAGAUCGUGAACUUCAAAGGGCAGAGGGGAAACUGUCCCUUGGCCUCUACCCCUCCAAGGCCCCACUUUUUUGUCAACACUCCUUGGACGCAGCAGAAGUAUGAACAUAAUAUGGUCCUGAAUGAGGCUGAGUCUUUGGGCGCAGAAGACCCGGGUUAAUAAAAAUAGGAAGGUAAGAAAAGAAAAGAAAAAUCAAGACACAUCAUAGGACUAAAUUCCUAUUAUUUAUCCACUCAGGAUUGACCACCCCUUUGGGCCAGAUAGUUGUACCCCCAUGUACCAGGUGGGCACAUGAAGACACAAGAAGUGCUGUGAUGGUUCAUUUUGCACGUCACCUUGCGUGGAGUAUGCCAACUCAUUGUUUGGUCAAACACUAGUCUGGACAUGGUGGUAAAGGUAUUUUUUAGAUGAGAUUAACACUUAAAUCAGUAAAGCAGGUUACCCACCAUACUACGGGUGGGCCCUGUCCAAUCAGUUGAAGGCAUUAAGAACAAAGAUUGAGGUUUCCUAAAGAAGAUGGAAUUCUCCUUGAGACUACAACAUAGAAACCCUAUCUGAGUUUCCAGCCUGUUGCCCUGUGGAAUUCAAACUCAGGACUCCGGUCUAUGACAUUAACCCUCACUUAACUUUUCAGCCUGCCAGCCUGCCCUAUGGAUUUCGGACUUGCCAGCCACACAAUUCCUUAAAAUAAAUCUCUCCGUCUC
Molecule: long non-coding RNA, 2243 nt
Organism: Homo sapiens (human)
Lineage: Eukaryota; Metazoa; Chordata; Mammalia; Primates; Hominidae
Gene: DRAIC
Product: downregulated RNA in cancer, inhibitor of cell invasion and migration
Source: Ensembl